Molecule: ribosomal RNA, 442 nt
Filed under: uncultured bacterium
Lineage: Bacteria
Description: SSU rRNA
Rfam family: Bacterial small subunit ribosomal RNA
Source: RNAcentral
AGAGCGAACGCUGGCGGCAGGCCUAACACAUGCAAGUCGAGCGCCCCGCAAGGGGAGCGGCAGACGGGAGAGUAACACGUGGGAACGUACCCUUUGGUUCGGAACAACACAGGGAAACUUGUGCUAAUACCGGAUAAGCCCUUACGGGGAAAGAUUUAUCGCCAAAGGAUCGGCCCGCGUCUGAUUAGCUUGUUGGUGAGGUAACGGCUCACCAAGGCUACGAUCAGUAGCUGGUCUGAGAGGAUGAUCAGCCUCACUGGGACUGAGACACGGCCCAGACUCCUACGGGAGGCAGCAGUGGGGAAUAUUGGACAAUGGGCGCAAGCCUGAUCCAGCCAUGUCGCGUGGAUGAUGAAGGCCCUAGGGUUGUAAAGUCCUUUCGACGGGAAGAUAAUGACGGUACCCGUAGAAGAGCCCCGGCUAACUUCGUGCCAGCAGCCGC